UACGAAGGGUGCAAGCGUUACUCGGAAUUACUGGGCGUAAAGCGUGCGUAGGUGGUUUGUUAAGUCUGUUGUGAAAGCCCCGGGCUCAACCUGGGAAUGGCAAUGGAUACUGGCAGGCUAGAGUGCGGUAGAGGGUAGUGGAAUUCCCGGUGUAGCGGUGAAAUGCGUAGAUAUCGGAAAGAACAUCAGUGGCGAAGGCGACUUCCUGGACCAAUACUGACACUCAAGUGCGAAAGCGUGGGGAGCAAACAGG
This 253-nucleotide ribosomal RNA is filed under the name uncultured bacterium. RNAcentral describes it as "partial 16S ribosomal RNA". It matches the Rfam family "Bacterial small subunit ribosomal RNA", at positions 524 to 776 of the family's 1533-position model. The record is from RNAcentral.